Molecule: ribosomal RNA, 429 nt
Filed under: Bacteroidota bacterium
Lineage: Bacteria; Pseudomonadati; Bacteroidota
Description: Bacteroidetes bacterium partial 16S ribosomal RNA
Rfam family: Bacterial small subunit ribosomal RNA
Source: RNAcentral
UAGGGAAUCUUCGGCAAUGGGGGGAACCCUGACCGAGCAACGCCGCGUGAGUGAAGAAGGUUUUCGGAUCGUAAAGCUCUGUUGUUAAGGAAGAACGAGUGUGAGAAUGGAAAGUUCAUACUGUGACGGUACUUAACCAGAAAGGGACGGCUAACUACGUGCCAGCAGCCGCGGUAAUACGUAGGUCUCGAGCGUUGUCCGGAUUUAUUGGGCGUAAAGCGAGCGCAGGCGGUUAGAUAAGUCUGAAGUUAAAGGCAGGGGCUCAACCAUUGUAGGCUUUGGAAACUGUUUAACGUGAGUGCAGAAGGGGAGAGUGGAAUUCCAUGUGUAGCGGUGAAAUGCGUAGAUAUAUGGAAGAACACCGGUGGCGAAAGCGGCUCUCUGGUCUGUAACUGACGCUGAGGCUCGAAAGCGUGGGGAGCGAACAGG